CGCGUAGGGAUCUGCCUUAUAGCGGGGAGUAACCUUAGGAAACUGAGGCUAAUACCGCAUGUGCUCUUCGGAGUAAAGGCUGCACUUGUGCAGUCACUAUAAGAUGAACCUGCGUUAGAUUAGUUAGUUGGUGGGGUAAAGGCCUACCAAGGCGACGAUCUAUAGCUGGUCUGAGAGGAUGAACAGCCACACUGGGACUGAGACACGGCCCAGACUCCUACGGGAGCAGCAGUGGGGAAUAUUGGACAAUGGGGGCAACCCUGAUCCAGCAAUGCCGCGUGUGUGAAGAAGGCCUGCGGG
RNAcentral lists this ribosomal RNA (300 nucleotides) under uncultured Coxiellaceae bacterium. Its description in RNAcentral is "bacterial SSU rRNA". It matches the Rfam family "Bacterial small subunit ribosomal RNA", at positions 114 to 422 of the family's 1533-position model. Lineage: Bacteria; Pseudomonadati; Pseudomonadota; Gammaproteobacteria; Legionellales; Coxiellaceae. The record is from RNAcentral.